Molecule: ribosomal RNA, 253 nt
Filed under: uncultured bacterium
Lineage: Bacteria
Description: partial 16S ribosomal RNA
Rfam family: Bacterial small subunit ribosomal RNA
Source: RNAcentral
UACGUAGGGGGCAAGCGUUGUCCGGAAUCAUUGGGCGUAAAGAGCGUGUAGGCGGCCCGGUAAGUCCGCUGUGAAAGUCCAGGGCUCAACCCUGGGAUGCCGGUGGAUACUGUCGGGCUCGAGUCCGGAAGAGGAGUGUGGAAUUCCUGGUGUAGCGGUGAAAUGCGCAGAUAUCAGGAGGAACACCAAUGGCGAAGGCAGCUUGCUGGGACGGUACUGACGCUGAGGCGCGAAAGCGUGGGGAGCGAACAGG